Molecule: transfer RNA, 62 nt
Filed under: Margarites vorticiferus
Lineage: Eukaryota; Metazoa; Mollusca; Gastropoda; Trochida; Margaritidae
Description: tRNA-Arg
Source: RNAcentral
AUUAGGAAGUGAAAAAUUACACACGGUUUCGGCCCGUGCCUUGGCGCUGUGCCCCUACUACU